GACGUAGGGUGCAAGCGUUGUCCGGAAUUAUUGGGCGUAAAGAGCUCGUAGGCGGUCUGUCGCGUCGGAUGUGAAAAUCCAGGGCUCAACCCUGGACCUGCAUUCGAUACGGGCAGACUAGAGUUCGGUAGGGGAGACUGGAAUUCCUGGUGUAGCGGUGAAAUGCGCAGAUAUCAGGAGGAACACCGGUGGCGAAGGCGGCUUCCUGGACCGAUUACUGACGCUGAGGCGCGAAAGCUAGGGGAGCAAACGGG
This 254-nucleotide ribosomal RNA is filed under the name uncultured bacterium. Its description in RNAcentral is "partial 16S ribosomal RNA". It matches the Rfam family "Bacterial small subunit ribosomal RNA", at positions 524 to 776 of the family's 1533-position model. The record is from RNAcentral.